Periconia digitata is the source of this 150-nucleotide non-coding RNA. NCBI's taxonomy places the organism in Eukaryota, Fungi, Ascomycota, Dothideomycetes, Pleosporales, Periconiaceae. The record is from the annotation of a GenBank genome assembly.
AGGACCGGUAGUUUAGUGGUAAAACACUCGUUGCUUGCCGAUAUCCAGAAGAUCGCCACCUUUUAGGUGUGAGUAGAGCCUGAGAUAGGAGAAAGCUGGCCAGCAGUCUGACUCAACGAGAGACCUUGGUUCGAAUCCAAGCCGGUCCAC